RNAcentral lists this transfer RNA (74 nucleotides) under Danio rerio (zebrafish). RNAcentral's name for it is "tRNA-Asn (GTT) (tRNA-Asn-GTT-30-1)". It matches the Rfam family "tRNA". Rfam says of the family: Transfer RNA (tRNA) molecules are approximately 80 nucleotides in length. Their secondary structure includes four short double-helical elements and three loops (D, anti-codon, and T loops). Further hydrogen bonds mediate the characteristic L-shaped molecular structure. tRNAs have two regions of fundamental functional importance: the anti-codon, which is responsible for specific mRNA codon recognition, and the 3' end, to which the tRNAs corresponding amino acid is attached (by aminoacyl-tRNA synthetases). tRNAs cope with the degeneracy of the genetic code in two manners: having more than one tRNA (with a specific anti-codon) for a particular amino acid; and 'wobble' base-pairing, i.e. permitting non-standard base-pairing at the 3rd anti-codon position. The record is from Rfam by way of RNAcentral. Lineage: Eukaryota; Metazoa; Chordata; Actinopteri; Cypriniformes; Danionidae.
GUCUCUGUGGCGCAAUCGGUUAGCGCGUUCGGCUGUUAACUGAAAGGUCGGUGGUUCAAGCCCACCCAGGGAUG